UAGCGACAGGCCUAACACAUGCAAGUCAGGGGCGAGCGACAAGGAAGCAAUACUGAGGUGGCGACCGGCGGCACGGGUGAGUAACACGUAUGCAACCUAGCCUCGUAAGCGGGGAAGUAAACCCGUUCGAAAGACGGACUAAUACCGCAUAAUACUAAAUUACUGCAUGGUAAUUAUUUAAACAUUUAUGGCUUACAGAUGGGCAUGCGCAUGAUUAGCUAGUUGGAGAGGUAACGGCUCCCCAAGGCAACGAUCAUUAGGGGUUCUGAGAGGAAGGUCCCCCACACUGGUACUGAGACACGGACCAGACUCCUACGGGAGGCAGCAGUGAGGAAUAUUGGUCAAUGGACGAGAGUCUGAACCAGCCAAGUCGCGUGCAGGAAGAAUGUCCCUAUGGAUUGUAAACUGCUUUUGCAGGGGAAUAAAGUGCAUCACGUGUGAUGUUUUGUAUGUACUCUGCGAAUAAGGAUCGGCUAACUCCGUGCCAGCAGCCGC
RNAcentral lists this ribosomal RNA (495 nucleotides) under uncultured bacterium. RNAcentral describes it as "bacterial SSU rRNA". It matches the Rfam family "Bacterial small subunit ribosomal RNA", at positions 37 to 518 of the family's 1533-position model. The record is from RNAcentral.